AGAGUUUGAUCAUGGCUCAGGACGAACGCAGGCGGCGUGCUUAACACAUGCAAGUGUACUUGAACGCCCUGCUUGCAGGGAACUAUGGUGGCGAACGGGUGAGUAACGCGUAGACAAUCUGCCCCUUUCAGUGGGAUAAUCUCGGGAAACUGGGUCUAAUACCACAUAACAUCUCUUUUUGGCAUCAUUAAGAGAUUAAAGAUUUCGAAUCGGUGAGGGAUGAGUUUGCGUACCAUUAGCUAGUUGGUGGGGUAAUGGCCUACCAAGGCAACGAUGGUUAGCUGGUCUGAGAGGAUGAUCAGCCACACUGGGACUGAGAUACGGCCCAGACUCCUACGGGAGGCAGCAGUGAGGAAUAUUGCACAAUGGGGGCAACCCUGAUGCAGCAACGCCGCGUGUACGAUGAAUCAGUUUAUCUGUGUAAAGUACUGUUAAUUGGGACGAAUUAUAGGGUUUGUAGCCUUAUUUGACU
Molecule: ribosomal RNA, 472 nt
Filed under: uncultured bacterium
Lineage: Bacteria
Description: bacterial SSU rRNA
Rfam family: Bacterial small subunit ribosomal RNA
Source: RNAcentral